ACGUAAACGAGCAAGAGCUGGACGCUGAGAGCGCUAGAGCGCAAGCGCAGGGCAAGGGAGGCGGCGGACUCAGAGCAGGGCGCCUGCGUACAGCAGGCAAGUUUGGGCCGAUGUGGGUUAGGGAUGUGCCUCGCGGAGGCGCCGGACGGAAAGAAGAGAUGGGAGUGCGCAGGCGCGGUAGGACUGACUGACGCCCGCUUUCCCUAGAGGCUAGCCGCGGUGCGAUUUCCCAGCAGCCCAUAGUCCUUAUUUACAUACGCUUUGAUCUCGUUUAAGUUGGCUCUCGCUGUUCUACCCGGUUCCGAGUCUCUUAAAGAGCCCUGGAGCGGAGGUGAGGAGGAGUUGUCAUUUAGUAUGUCCCUCAUGGUUGAGCUCAGGCUCUGAAACCACACAAAACCAGCUUUGCAUUUCCUUGCUAAUGACUGGCCAGAGGCUCGACCGUUUUUUUGUGUGUGCCUCAGUAUCAUCUACUAAGUGGAAACAGUCAUACUUGUAUUACCGGGCUAUUGGACUACUUUAUGUAAACCGAAUUAUCAAUUAGAUAAUUAUCAAUAUUAUAUCAGUUAGACAUUCUACGACCACAAUAGUCUUAUCUGCUCAUUCUACAUAAGCAAUUACAUAUGGGCUAUAACUUUUUUAUAAGGUAACUUGGGCCCGGAAAGUCCUUAAAAUGACCCCGCAAGAAAAGAGUUUUGCACACAUCCUGGCCCAUCUAUUAGCUGCUGUACUAGACAGCUGUGAGACAUCUGGCUCCCAGUCUGUUCCGUCAAAUUGGUUGGGUGGGGCUUGUUAGCUUAUGAGUUUGGGUUCCGGUAUGCCACACAGCGUAGCAAGUAUGCAUUGGUUAAUGCAUACCUCUUGUAGAAGGCCUGGCUGGGGGGUUGAGGAAUCCUAGGUCCACCUCGGUCUGUGAGAGUGUCUCCAGCAAGUCCUGCUCAGGGAUGGGCCUUAGUUUCCCCAUAGGUAAACCUAAUGCUGGAACUAGCCCUUAGCUAAUAGGUUUCCAGCUUGGAACUCACUGCUCUGUAUUCCUAUUCCUAAUUCGUGGUCUUGCCCCAUCACUGUGUUGUUAACUCUAACCAAUGCCACUUGCACCUCAGUCCUGACCAUUUUAGAGUCCUGUCUGGUAAUGGGUCUGUCUCAUUAACUGCACAGAGAGCCCCGGGAGGAAAAAGACCAGGACUGUCUCAGUCAUCACUUUUGAGGGAUGGGACAUACCUAACACUGCCCAGCAAAGCCCUGGCACAGAGCAGGCCCUCGGGGAAUAUCUGUUUCAAGAAUUAACCCCUCCACUCUAAUCAAGACUCAAGGUUACUGUGGCCUUUCUUUCCUCCUCUGUGUUGAACAGCUCACAGCCCAUUCCCCUACAUCCAGGUCUUCACAACUGACUCAAAUUCCUGCCCCUCCUAGGGCACAGGAUGGAUUAUCUCACAAAAUCUCCAGUGCCCUUGUGUAUAAACUCCUUGGGACACUAGUAGUCAAAGAAAUUGCAAUAGAAAACACCAUACAUAUUCAAUUUUUUAACACAUAGGAGAUUCCCAAAACGUUUCGGUGGUUGUGCUAGGCUGGUCUCUGGGGCAGACCUUGGAAUGAAGUUUUUUCUACCCUUGAUAAGACUGAACACCUUAUCGAUCUGCUCUGAACACGUAGAUGGCUUCCCAUCCCAUGUGGAAUCAAAGCUAAAGGCCUCAGCAGGGCCCUAGAACUCAGUUCAAACUCACCUCUUUCAAGAGACUUCGCCUGGCCACUCAAGACUCAGAAGAGCCAGGCUGUCACCAUCCAUCUCUUUAGCAUAUCUGAAUUCCCUACUUAGCACUUAACACUAAAGAAUACUUUUGUUGUUUAUUUUGUAACUGUCUUUCCCAAAACUAGGAUAUAAAUUUGUCCGUGAAGGCAAAGACCUUGUCUUGGGCACCCCUGUCUCCCCGGCUCCUAGAACGAUACCUGGCACAUAGGUGGGACUUGGGGAUCAAUAAAUAUUUGCUGACUGAA
Pteropus alecto (black flying fox) is the source of this 1992-nucleotide long non-coding RNA. RefSeq lists it as uncharacterized. The transcript has 3 exons. NCBI's taxonomy places the organism in Eukaryota, Metazoa, Chordata, Mammalia, Chiroptera, Pteropodidae. The record is from RefSeq and is a predicted model, not a curated record.